CUCAAUCUCGGGUGGCUGAACGCCACUUGUCCCUCUAAGAAGUUGGACGCCGACCGCUCGGGGGUCGCAUAACUAGUUAGUAUGCCAGAGUCUCACU
Trachemys scripta elegans is the source of this 97-nucleotide long non-coding RNA. RefSeq lists it as uncharacterized. The record is from RefSeq and is a predicted model, not a curated record. The transcript is spliced from 4 exons. NCBI's taxonomy places the organism in Eukaryota, Metazoa, Chordata, Testudines, Emydidae.